RNAcentral lists this ribosomal RNA (454 nucleotides) under uncultured bacterium. RNAcentral describes it as "partial 16S ribosomal RNA". It matches the Rfam family "Bacterial small subunit ribosomal RNA", at positions 28 to 507 of the family's 1533-position model. The record is from RNAcentral.
GAUGAACGCUGACAGAAUGCUUAACACAUGCAAGUCAACUUGAACUUCGGUUUGGGUGGCGGACGGGUGAGUAACGCGUAAAGAACUUGCCUCACAGAUAGGGACAACAUUUGGAAACGAAUGCUAAUACCUGAUAUUAUGAUUUUAGGGCAUCCUAGGAUUAUGAAAGCUAUAUGCGCUGUGAGAGAGCUUUGCGUCCCAUUAGCUAGUUGGAGAGGUAACGGCUCACCAAGGCGAUGAUGGGUAGCCGGCCUGAGAGGGUGAUCGGCCACAAGGGGACUGAGACACGGCCCUUACUCCUACGGGAGGCAGCAGUGGGGAAUAUUGGACAAUGGACCAAGAGUCUGAUCCAGCAAUUCUGUGCGCACGAUGAAGUUUUUCGGAAUGUAAAGUGCUUUCAGUUGGGAAGAAAAAAAUGACGGUACCAACAGAAGAAGUGACGGCUAAAUACGUG